This 321-nucleotide long non-coding RNA is filed under the name Hordeum vulgare. RNAcentral's name for it is "long non-coding RNA (HVUL_LNC020543)". Lineage: Eukaryota; Viridiplantae; Streptophyta; Magnoliopsida; Poales; Poaceae. The record is from RNAcentral.
AAUUGUUGGCUUUUGAACGUGCGUAUGCAGCUGACACGCGUGCCUACGCGAUUCUUGCUUCGGCCGGCUACUUGACCGGAACUUGCGUAACUAGCGACACGAAUAAAACUGAUCGAUGGAUUUGAUGGCUAAAGGCCCGUGUCGAGCCUUUGCUUUGUAUUGCUUUUCUUUUUUCUGGUGUUACAAUCAACACCCCUAGGGUGUCUUUUAUACACGUCCACAAUGGACUAUGGAAAUAGACUAGGACUAGGAAUCCUAAUACUACUAGGACUCGGUUUGGCUUUCUUUCCUAAUCCUACAUGAGCAACAUGAUUAACAUCU